Arachis duranensis is the source of this 1469-nucleotide long non-coding RNA. RefSeq lists it as uncharacterized. The transcript is spliced from 3 exons. The record is from RefSeq and is a predicted model, not a curated record. NCBI's taxonomy places the organism in Eukaryota, Viridiplantae, Streptophyta, Magnoliopsida, Fabales, Fabaceae.
UUUGCUCAAAUUGUAUAACUAUACAGAAUCAAGAAAAAGAAAAUUAAGCUUCUAUCUACAUCAUCUAACAUGGUAUGGUUGUUAGAUUCUGUAUAUGGAAAGCUUUUUGAAAUACGUCAAAUUUGAGAUUCCUAGUUUGAACUUUGAACCAGAGUUAUAUUUUCUGUUCUUACGUGUUUUUUUAUAUUAGAAUUAUUAGCUGGAAAGAGAAUUUUGUUACAUUAAGCAGGAGCUAAAUGCUUGAUCCCAAUUUUAAUAAUAGUAGUUAUCAUUGCAACACAUUCUAGAUCAAUGUUUUGAGUUUACUAGCAAAGAUAUAAUUGACGACUUAGGUCCAUCCAUGUCAGUUUUCAAGGAUUUCAGUUUAGCAUGCAAUUUAGAUAAAAUAGUAUUAAUGAAUUCUUGAAAUAAAGAACUCUCUUUAAUAAAAAUCUGCAUUGCUGGGUCUAAAGUGUAAGCAAGGAAGCACAUGGCAUAAGGAAAUAGUGACUAUUCUUCAUCGUUUAGCAUUCUUAAAUAAAAUCAAUGGAGCCAAUUAAUAGGCUUAGCACUAUGCAUUAUUCAUCUUUGGAAACCCUGUUAAGUGAAUGUCAGCAUGUUUAAAAGAAUGUACGAGUCUUGUAGUUCAGGUAAUGAGAUUAAAAUUAUUUUAUAAGAGAUUAUAAAGAAGGGAGAGUGGAUAUAUGGUUAUAUUAAUUUGUUAGUUCUCUAUUUUACUCUCAAUCCCUGUUUAUGCAUAAUUUCUUCAGCUCAAGUGUCAUUCAUCUUUUUUACUUUGCAAUUUGAUAUUGGAAUCCAUUUUUUGCACUUUCAAAAUCAGUUCAUGGAUUUUUCUGUGCUCAAUGAAAGUUUUAUAGGAGUUAAGAAUAAAUACGCAUACACCUAAGUGGUGGAUCCCAAUGCAAGCUUUUCUACAGGUAUCUAUUUAUUUAUUUAUAAAUUACUAAAGCUUAAUUUUUGUGUUUAAUCAUACUGGAUUUGUGUGUUUGAGUUGUUAGAUAUGAAGGUCUAGUUAAGUAUACUUUGAAGAACAACUAUCAUAUAAGCAAUGUAUUCUACAUUGGACUUGCCUUUGUCCUUAAAGAAGAAAGGGGUAUCGAAAUGGAAGAAGAAAAAGAUUAUGGUUGGAUAAUUACUUUUGUUCACAAUGAAGACACUAACUUACCACAAAUGGAUCACCCUGAUGGUUGUUCGUUCAUGGAAUAGAAAUGGGCUUGAGGACAUCUUAAAAGAGCCUCCAUCAGAGAACUUAGAAGUUCUUCCUUCACCAUAUCUCUCUCUUUCACUUAUAAGUAUUGUCAAAAUUACUAGGUAUUUGUUCAUAGAACUAUCCUAACUAACCUUAGGAGAUUCAACUAAUCUAGACAUUUUUAUUUUAUAUGUAUAUUUCUCAGAGCAAACAUUAGUCUUGAGAAUAUGUAGAAGUUUAACAUUGAAUUUUAUCCACUUGAUUGUGUUAAGCUACUUAU